CCUACGGGUGGCUGCAGUGGGGGAUAUUCCACAAUGGGGGAAACCCUGAUGCAGCGACGCCGCGUGGGUGAAGGAGUGCUUCGGCAUGUAAAGCCCUAGCGGCAGGGAAGAAGCAAGACGGUAGCUGACUAAGAAGCACCGGCGAACUACGUUCCAGCAGCCGCGGUAAUACGUAGGGGGCGAGCGUUAUCCGGAUUCACUGGGUGGAAAGGGAGCGUAGUCGGCCAUGCAAGCCAGGUGUGAAAGCCCGGGGCACAACCCCGGGACUGCCCUUGGAACUGUGCGUCUAGAGGGCGGGAGGGGAAGGCGGAAUUCCUGGUGUAGCGGUAAAAUGCGUAGAUAUAUGGAAGAACACCAGUGGCGAAGGCGGCCGCCUGGACUGUUGCUGACGCUGAGGCACGAAAGCGUGGGGAGCAAAUAGGAUUAGAUACCCCAGUAGUC
RNAcentral lists this ribosomal RNA (441 nucleotides) under uncultured bacterium. RNAcentral's name for it is "partial 16S ribosomal RNA". It matches the Rfam family "Bacterial small subunit ribosomal RNA", at positions 338 to 795 of the family's 1533-position model. The record is from RNAcentral.